Molecule: long non-coding RNA, 312 nt
Filed under: Phaseolus vulgaris (common bean)
Lineage: Eukaryota; Viridiplantae; Streptophyta; Magnoliopsida; Fabales; Fabaceae
Description: long non-coding RNA (PVUL_LNC000636)
Source: RNAcentral
AAACAGCGAACGAUGGUUGCACCAGCACACAACCACGCAGAAAACUUCGAAAACCUCCAAGAACUCACGCUGUGGAUGGGAGCAAAUUUUACACGGCCCCACGGUGGGCGCCUGAUGAUCCUGCCUGUUGACCGGAACGCUGGAAACUGCCUCGUCAAAGGAUCGACGUGCGCACCGCUUCUCACCUCCGUUCCUCUUCGAGAUCCACCUCAAGAACCUGCAAAGAAACAGAGCGGCGCCGCUGCGGCCGAUCGCACUCCAACGCUCAAGUCAGUGACCGAAUCACCAAAUACUAAGAGAACAAGAACCGUG